RNAcentral lists this ribosomal RNA (454 nucleotides) under uncultured bacterium. RNAcentral's name for it is "bacterial SSU rRNA". It matches the Rfam family "Bacterial small subunit ribosomal RNA", at positions 29 to 526 of the family's 1533-position model. The record is from RNAcentral.
AACGAACGCUGGCGGCAGGCUUAACACAUGCAAGUCGAACGCAUCCUUCGGGGUGAGUGGCAGACGGGUGAGUAACGCGUGGGAACGUGCCCUUCAGUUCGGAAUAACCCAGGGAAACUUGGGCUAAUACCGGAUACGCCCUUUACGGGGAAAGAUUGUAUCGCUGAAGGAUCGGCCCGCGUCUGAUUAGCUGGUUGGUGAGGUAAUGGCUCACCAAGGCGACGAUCAGUAGCUGGUCUGAGAGGAUGAUCAGCCACAUUGGGACUGAGACACGGCCCAAACUCCUACGGGAGGCAGCAGUGGGGAAUAUUGGACAAUGGGCGCAAGCCUGAUCCAGCCAUGCCGCGUGAGUGAUGACGGCCUUAGGGUUGUAAAGCUCUUUCGUCCGGGACGAUAAUGACGGUACCGGAAGAAGAAGCCCCGGCUAACUUCGUGCCAGCCGCCGCGGUAACAC